Molecule: ribosomal RNA, 140 nt
Filed under: uncultured eukaryote
Lineage: Eukaryota
Description: partial 18S ribosomal RNA
Rfam family: Eukaryotic small subunit ribosomal RNA
Source: RNAcentral
UGGUGGAGUGAUUUGUCUGGUUAAUUCCGUUAACGGACGAGACCUUAACCUGCUAAAUAGUUUCGCCUAACUCCGGUUAGGCGGGUAACUUCUUAGAGGGACUUUGUGUGUCUAACACAAGGAAGUUUGAGGCAAUAACA